UCAUUAUAAACCAGAAGGAGGAAAUCCCACCCCAUUUCACAGCAGAGAAAACAACCGAGAGAGAUUAAAUGAUGAGCUGCUGUCACAUAGCCAGUCAGCAGUGUUGCAAGAAUUGUUGCUGACUCCAAAGCUUGUGCUUUUUCCCAGCCCAAGAACUUGGGGGCUCUGUCAGGAAAGUUGGCCUCCCCUGUGUGUCUUCAGGAGUGGGGAGACGAUGGUCAGACUGGGCCAGGGAGUAGGUGCUGCCCAGACCCGAGCCUACCCUCCCUUCUCCUCCCCAGUGCGUAUCACGGCCACCUGAGCUCCCUGAUUGACAUCAGUCCCUACAAGUUCCGCAACCUGGAUGGCCAGAAGGAGUGGGUCCACGUGGUAUGCACUGCCCAACUCAACAACAGGUCGGUGCCUGUCCCCAAGCCCGGAUAACAUGGCGCUGUCACUCCCCACAGGCACCUCUCCCAGACACCUACCGGGGCCCCUACCGGGAGGACCACCCCAACCCAGCUAUGGCCUAUGCCAACGAGGUGAAACGUGUGGUCAGCAGUGCACAGGAGAAGGGCAGGAAGAUUGCGGCCUUCUUCGCUGAGUCUCUGCCCAGUGUGGGAGGGCAGAUCAUUCCCCCUGCUGGCUACUUCUCCCAAGUGGCAGAGCACAUCCGCAAGGCCGGAGGGGUCUUUGUUGCAGAUGAGAUCCAGGUUGGCUUUGGCCGGGUAGGCAAGCACUUCUGGGCCUUCCAGCUCCAGGGAAAAGACUUCGUCCCUGACAUCGUCACCAUGGGCAAGUCCAUUGGCAAUGGCCACCCUGUUGCCUGCGUGGCCGCAACCCAGCCUGUGGCGAGGGCAUUUGAAGCCACCGGCGUUGAGUACUUCAACACGUUUGGGGGCAGCCCAGUGUCCUGCGCUGUGGGGCUGGCCGUCCUGAAUGUCUUGGAGAAGGAGCAGCUCCAGGAUCAUGCCACCAGUGUAGGCAGCUUCCUGAUGGAGCUCCUCGGGCAGCAAAAAAUCAAACAUCCCAUCGUCGGGGAUGUCAGGGGUGUUGGGCUCUUCAUUGGUGUGGAUCUGAUCAAAGAUGAGGCCACAAGGACACCAGCAACUGAAGAGGCUGCCUACUUGGUAUCAAGGCUGAAGGAGAACUACGUUUUGCUGAGCACUGAUGGCCCUGGGAGGAACAUCCUGAAGUUUAAGCCCCCAAUGUGCUUCAGCCUGGACAAUGCACGGCAGGUGGUGGCAAAGCUGGAUGCCAUUCUGACUGACAUGGAAGAGAAGGUGAGAAGUUGUGAAACGCUGAGGCUCCAGCCCUAAGCCAGCCCUGCUCUGCCUAGGUGUACUCCAGGUGAGUGGGCCUUGCUUCUUACUCUUGAAGAUGCACAGCGGGUUCCUUACCAUCAGCAGCAAGCAGCCUCGGCAAGCUGAGCCUUUUUUUAAAGACUUUUUUUUGUUGAUUGAUGCUCCUUCCCAAAGGUUAGUUUCUUCAACACUGGAAAUUCUCCAAUGCUUGCACUUGAUGGCAGGAACAGCUAUAUCCUCCCUUGAAACCUAUGGGGCUGUAUCCACGUGGAACCCCAACCCACCCUUGCCUCUUGUAACCACCUAGUCUCAACGCCCUAAAUACCAGACCUGGAGUUGGGCUCCAAUCCAGCCAAUAAACAUCCCCUGCCAGAGCAGGCUUUUCUUCACCAGCCAGGAGGAGCACUAUUGUGCCCCAAUACAGACGGCCCUGGCACUGCCCUAGUGUGUAAAGAAUCCCAUUUUUUUCAUUCAUCAGCCAAGAAGGUUGGUGUUCCAAGGUGUCCCAGGAGGGGACAUGCCUGCUGGGGAUGUAAGCCCUCAUCACUGCCCCAUCCUCACUCCCCAUAGGCCUCUCAUUCCUUUCUUUGAAGGGGGCUCAGUCCUAGGCAGGGCAGUCCUUAAAGGAUACCCCCACAACUGGGCCUGCAGCUGGAAGAGCCUGCUGCAGGAGAAAGCCCCAAGUCCAGGGCACCUGGCACCCCGCCCCCCAACCCUGAGCAAGAGGUCUCACACAGCAUAUCCCACACUCACCCAGGCUUGGGGGUUUUUUAAUUUUAUUUCAAAAGCUUGGAUAGCUUCAAUAUCCAGGUUGUGGCAAAAUCAGGACACGUGUAAAAUACCUUACAAUACAUUAGAUUCCCAAAAGGUACCAAAAAGUACAGUAAAAUUAACACUUCCGUUACAGGAAAUGUAUGACGCAAAUAAUAUAAAAUUAAAAGGUGAAAAAAAGGUG
This 2238-nucleotide small RNA is filed under the name Pan troglodytes (chimpanzee). Its description in RNAcentral is "retained intron". Lineage: Eukaryota; Metazoa; Chordata; Mammalia; Primates; Hominidae. The record is from RNAcentral.